GACGAACGCUGGCGGCGUGCCUAAUACAUGCAAGUCGAACGCAGUUACGAACGGGUGAGUAACGCGUAGGUAACUGCCUCAUAGCGGGGGAUACCUAUUGGAAACGAUAGCUAAUACCGCAUACCGUGAGAUGGAUCUGCGUUGUAUUAGCUAGUUGGUGAGGUAAAGGCUCACCAAGGCGACGAUACAUAGCCGGCCUGAGAGGGUGAUCGACCCCACGGGGACUUAGACACGUCCCAGACUCCUACUCACGUCAUCAAGAUAAAAUCUUCGGAAAUGGACGGAAGUCUGACCCGGCAACGACGCGGGAGUGGAAGAGGUUUUCGGAUCUUAAAACUCUGUUGUUAGAGAAGCGGUAACGAACCAGAAAGGAACGGCUAACUACGUGCCAGCAGCCGCGGUAAUAC
This 407-nucleotide ribosomal RNA is filed under the name uncultured bacterium. RNAcentral's name for it is "partial 16S ribosomal RNA". It matches the Rfam family "Bacterial small subunit ribosomal RNA", at positions 28 to 526 of the family's 1533-position model. The record is from RNAcentral.